UGCCAGACCUUUUUUUAAUGACAAAUACUGG
RNAcentral lists this non-coding RNA (31 nucleotides) under Rattus norvegicus (Norway rat). The record is from RNAcentral. Lineage: Eukaryota; Metazoa; Chordata; Mammalia; Rodentia; Muridae.